RNAcentral lists this ribosomal RNA (253 nucleotides) under uncultured bacterium. RNAcentral's name for it is "partial 16S ribosomal RNA". It matches the Rfam family "Bacterial small subunit ribosomal RNA", at positions 524 to 776 of the family's 1533-position model. The record is from RNAcentral.
UACGGGGGGGGCAAGCGUUGUUCGGAAUUACUGGGCGUAAAGGGCUCGUAGGCGGCCAACUAAGUCAGACGUGAAAUCCCUCGGCUUAACCGGGGAACUGCGUCUGAUACUGGAUGGCUUGAGUUCGGGAGAGGGAUGCGGAAUUCCAGGUGUAGCGGUGAAAUGCGUAGAUAUCUGGAGGAACACCGGUGGCGAAGGCGGCAUCCUGGACCGACACUGACGCUGAGGAGCGAAAGCUAGGGGAGCAAACGGG